Non-coding RNA from Trametes meyenii, 99 nucleotides. The record is from the annotation of a GenBank genome assembly. Lineage: Eukaryota; Fungi; Basidiomycota; Agaricomycetes; Polyporales; Polyporaceae.
GAACCCUUGGCACAGUGGUAGCGCGUGAGAUUCCAGUUGAAGGAGUAAUCCUUCCAAGGGAGAUCCUCAAGGUCGUCCGUUCGAUCCGGGCAGGGUUCA